GGAAGUAAAAAAGCGUAACAAGGUUUCCGUAGGUGAACCUGCGGAAGGAUCAUUACCGAGUUUUCGAGCUUCGGCUCGACUCUCCCACCCUUUGUGAACGUACCUCUGUUGCUUUGGCGGCUUCGGCCGCCAAAGGACCUCAAACUCCAGUCAGUAAACGCAGACGUCUGAUAAACAAGUUAAUAAACUAAAACUUUCAACAACGGAUCUCUUGGUUCUGGCAUCGAUGAAGAACGCAGCGAAAUGCGAUAAGUAAUGUGAAUUGCAGAAUUCAGUGAAUCAUCGAAUCUUUGAACGCACAUUGCGCCCCUUGGUAUUCCGGGGGGCAUGCCUGUUCGAGCGUCAUUACAACCCUCAAGCUCUGCUUGGAAUUGGGCACCGUCCUCACUGCGGACGCGCCUCAAAGACCUCGGCGGUGGCUGUUCAGCCCUCAAGCGUAGUAGAAUACACCUCGCUUUGGAGCGGUUGGCGUCGCCCGCCGGACGAACCUUCUGAACUUUUCUCAAGGUGACCUCGGAUCAGGUAGGAUACCCCAAC
RNAcentral lists this ribosomal RNA (537 nucleotides) under Lasiodiplodia theobromae. RNAcentral's name for it is "eukaryotic LSU rRNA". The stretch from base 192 to 345 matches the Rfam family "5.8S ribosomal RNA". Lineage: Eukaryota; Fungi; Ascomycota; Dothideomycetes; Botryosphaeriales; Botryosphaeriaceae. The record is from RNAcentral.